AUUGAACGCUGGCGGCGUGCCUAACACAUGCAAGUCGAGCGGUAACAGGUGUAGCAAUACAUGCUGACGAGCGGCGAACGGGUGAGUAAUGCUUCGGAAUCUACCCAAUGGUGGGGAAUAACCAGCCGAAAGGUUGGCUAAUACCGCAUACGUCCCACGGGAGAAAGCAGGGGAUCGCAAGACCUUGCGCCAAUGGAUGAGCCGAAGUCGGAUUAGCUAGUUGGAGGGUAACGGCCUACCAAGGCGACGAUCCGUAGCUGGUCUGAGAGGACGACCAGCCACACUGGGACUGAGACACGGCCCAGACUCCUACGGGAGGCAGCAGUGGGGAAUAUUGGACAAUGGGGGAAACCCUGAUCCAGCGACGCCGCGUGUGUGAAGAAGGCCUGCGGGGUUGUAAAGCACUUUUUAGUGGGGAUGAAAUGUUCAGGGUUAACACCUCUGGAUUUUGACCUAACCCGCAG
RNAcentral lists this ribosomal RNA (464 nucleotides) under uncultured bacterium. Its description in RNAcentral is "bacterial SSU rRNA". It matches the Rfam family "Bacterial small subunit ribosomal RNA", at positions 30 to 484 of the family's 1533-position model. The record is from RNAcentral.